Molecule: ribosomal RNA, 592 nt
Filed under: uncultured Lactarius
Lineage: Eukaryota; Fungi; Basidiomycota; Agaricomycetes; Russulales; Russulaceae
Description: eukaryotic LSU rRNA
Rfam family: Eukaryotic large subunit ribosomal RNA (bases 386-592)
Source: RNAcentral
UCGCAUCGAUGAAGAACGCAGCGAAAUGCGAUACGUAAUGUGAAUUGCAGAAUUCAGUGAAUCAUCGAAUCUUUGAACGCACCUUGCGCCCCUUGGUAUUCCGAGGGGCACACCCGUUUGAGUGUCGUGAAAAUCUCAACCUUCUCGGUUUCUUCUGGACACCGAAGGAGGCUUGGACUUUGGAGGCCUUUGCCGGCUUUUGAGAGCCGGCUCCUCUUAAACAAAUUAGCGGGGUCCUCUUUGCCGAUCCUCGACAUGUGAUAAGAUGUUUCCAUGACUUGGUUUCUGGCUCUGUUGCCUUUGGGACCCGCUUCUAACCGUCUCGACGAGACAACGUUUGGGCGCGUCUCCCUUCUCGGGAGACUCUCUCGACCCCACGAACCCUUGACCUCAAAUCGGGUGGGACUACCCGCUGAACUUAAGCAUAUCAAUAAGCGGAGGAAAAGAAACUAACAAGGAUUCCCCUAGUAACUGCGAGUGAAGCGGGAAAAGCUCAAAUUUAAAAUCUGGCGGUCCUUGGCCGUCCGAGUUGUAAUUUAGAGAAGCGUCUUCCGCGCCGGACCGUGCACAAGUCUCCUGCACUGGAGCUCAG